UACGAAGGCCCCAAACGUUGUCCGGAUUCAUUGGGCGUAAAGCGUCCGCAGGUGGCUUUGCAAGUCGAUGGUCAAAUCCUCGAGCUUAACUCGGGGACUGCUAUCGAUACUGCACAGCUAGAGGUCGGAAGAGGCGAGCGGAACUAUCGGUGUAGUCGUAAUAAGCGCUGAUAUCGAUAGGAACACCAAAGGCGAAGGCAGCUCGCUAGGACGAACCUGACACUCAUGGACGAAAGCGUGGGUAGCGAAAGGG
RNAcentral lists this unclassified non-coding RNA (253 nucleotides) under Patescibacteria group bacterium. RNAcentral's name for it is "contains 16S-23S intergenic spacer region". It matches the Rfam family "Bacterial small subunit ribosomal RNA", at positions 524 to 776 of the family's 1533-position model. The record is from RNAcentral.